Molecule: ribosomal RNA, 467 nt
Filed under: uncultured bacterium
Lineage: Bacteria
Description: partial 16S ribosomal RNA
Rfam family: Bacterial small subunit ribosomal RNA
Source: RNAcentral
GACGAACGCUGGCGGCGUGCUUAACACAUGCAAGUCGAACGGAAAGGCCCAGCUUGCUGGGUACUCGAGUGGCGAACGGGUGAGUAACACGUGGGUGAUCUGCCCCUGACUUUGGGAUAAGCCUGGGAAACUGGGUCUAAUACCGGAUAUUCAUUUUUCCUCGCCUGGGGAUUUGUGGAAAGCUUUUGCGGUUGGGGAUGGGCCCGCGGCCUAUCAGCUUGUUGGUGGGGUAAUGGCCUACCAAGGCGACGACGGGUAGCCGACCUGAGAGGGUGAUCGGCCACACUGGGACUGAGACACGGCCCAGACUCCUACGGGAGGCAGCAGUGGGGAAUAUUGCACAAUGGGCGCAAGCCUGAUGCAGCGACGCCGCGUGAGGGAUGACGGCCUUCGGGUUGUAAACCUCUUUCAGCUCCGACGAAGCGCAAGUGACGGUAGGAGCAGAAGAAGCACCGGCCAACUACGUG